GAUGAACGCUGGCGGCGUGCUUAACACAUGCAAGUCGAGCGAGUGAGUUCUUCGGAACGAUCUAGCGGCGGACGGGUGAGUAACACGUGGGCAACCUGCCUCAUAGAGGGGAAUAGCCUCCCGAAAGGGAGAUUAAUACCGCAUAAAAUUAUCGAGUGGCAUCACACGAUAAUCAAAGGAGUAAUCCGCUAUGAGAUGGGCCCGCGGCGCAUUAGCUAGUUGGUGAGGUAACGGCUCACCAAGGCGACGAUGCGUAGCCGACCUGAGAGGGUGAUCGGCCACAUUGGGACUGAUACACGGCCCAGACUCCUACGGGAGGCAGCAGUGGGGAAUAUUGCACAAUGGGGGAAACCCUGAUGCAGCAACGCCGCGUGAGUGAUGAAGGUCUUCGGAUUGUAAAGCUCUGUCUUUGGGGACGAUAAUGACGGUACCCAAGGAGGAAGCCACGGCUAACUACGUGCCAGCAGCCGCCGUAA
Molecule: ribosomal RNA, 476 nt
Filed under: uncultured bacterium
Lineage: Bacteria
Description: partial 16S ribosomal RNA
Rfam family: Bacterial small subunit ribosomal RNA
Source: RNAcentral